UGAGCUCCAGAGCUGGUAGGCCGCUGCAGACCCGAGGGAGCCGAGGACUGGUCAGGGCUACCAGGACCAUUUAUGGACCCAAGCACGGAGGAGCUGCAAACACUGACAGAGGCCUUCUUCCCCGACACCAGGCGACCGUAUACAGAGCCAGGCCUGAGCCCACAUCUCCCAUCGCCCCGCUGAUUCCCCAUGUCAGGCGACCCCCGGAGAUGUAGAGUGGCGAAUUGGCUGCCCGCAGACCCAGAAGGGGAGGAGCCACUCCUCCCAAUGGACUACAGUUACACAUCUAAGGAGUAUAAACUGUGUCAGCUGAAUGUCUUACCUUGUGUUCUUUAAAUCGCCUACAAGUCUUCUAAGGGCUCAGAUUGGAAGGAAUGAGGGAUACAUGGCAAUACAGCAUACUACCGCCUCUCCAAAAACACCAUCUUCUGCUCCAGAAACUCAUGGGCAUUUCUUAAAAAUGAUCAUCACAACUCAGAUGCCCAAUGAUGAAGAUUUAAAACUAAAUGUCAACAUUAUCAACUAUUUCAC
Chelonia mydas (Green sea turtle) is the source of this 531-nucleotide long non-coding RNA. RefSeq lists it as uncharacterized. The record is from RefSeq and is a predicted model, not a curated record. The transcript has 3 exons. Lineage: Eukaryota; Metazoa; Chordata; Testudines; Cheloniidae.